RNAcentral lists this long non-coding RNA (416 nucleotides) under Anas platyrhynchos platyrhynchos (common mallard). Its description in RNAcentral is "lncRNA (ENSAPLG00000018574.1)". The record is from RNAcentral. Lineage: Eukaryota; Metazoa; Chordata; Aves; Anseriformes; Anatidae.
AAACUGAAAUAUUAAUGAAAACAAGUGUACUACUUGUGUGUGGUGUGGAUUCUGCAAAUCCCAUGGCAUGUUAACAGGAAGCUGUAACCAGAAGAUGUGACCCUGGUUAUCAGGAUGUCCUAAUGGGGUUUAAAAGUUAUCAGCUGUAAGUAGAGGUGGAGGCAGGGCACAGCACUAUGGGCUCCUUGGUGCCUUCGUGUCCCUCUUCUCUGGCCCAGUUUGUCACUGGGCAGGAGGACAGGAGUUCAUCCAGGAGGGACCAGUGGCAGGAUGGAGAUGACCCUGGUGUUGGGUUGGGCCUCCCAAGGCAGGGAAGGGCCCCACAGGCACUACGCAGAGACCCGCCUCCUCUUUGUCCCCUGCCAUGGGGGAACAAAAAUUGUAGUGAUCAGAAAGUCAAGCACCAUUUGGAAUAG